UUUUGGCCCCAGCGGUGCUUCUAGGAAGUAGAGCGCCGGCUCGCAUGCCUGCCCGCCCGCCAGCCUGCCGGAAUGAAACUAGUGAUCGAGAAGAUGGCCUCCCCAAAGGACAUCAUGUGACAGACUCUGAGAAUGAUGAGCCCUUAAAUCUUAAUGCUAGUGACUCUGAAAGUGAGGAGCUUCACAGGCAAAAGGACAGUGACUCUGAAUCUGAGGAACGUGCAGAGCCUCCUGCAAGCGAUUCUGAAAAUGAGGAUGUCAAUCAGCAUGGGAGCGACUCUGAGAGUGAAGAGACCAGGAAAUUACCUGGUAGUGACUCUGAAAAUGAGGAACUUCUUAAUGGGCAUGCAAGUGACUCAGAAAACGAAGAUGUUGAGAAGCAUCCCGCCAGUGAUUCUGAGAUUGAGGAGCUCCAGAAGAGUCCUGCUAGUGACUCUGAAACAGAAGAUGCUCUAAAACCUCAAAUCAGUGACUCUGAGAGUGAGGAACCCCCAAGGCACCAAGCCAGUGACUCCGAAAAUGAGGAGCCUCCCAAACCUCGAAUGAGUGAUUCUGAAAGUGAGGAGCUUCCUAAGCCUCAGG
Molecule: small RNA, 582 nt
Filed under: Pan troglodytes (chimpanzee)
Lineage: Eukaryota; Metazoa; Chordata; Mammalia; Primates; Hominidae
Description: processed transcript
Source: RNAcentral